This 2287-nucleotide ribosomal RNA is filed under the name uncultured Intestinibacter sp. RNAcentral describes it as "partial contains 16S ribosomal RNA, 16S-23S ribosomal RNA intergenic spacer, and 23S ribosomal RNA". The stretch from base 1 to 1476 matches the Rfam family "Bacterial small subunit ribosomal RNA". The record is from RNAcentral. Lineage: Bacteria; Bacillati; Bacillota; Clostridia; Peptostreptococcales; Peptostreptococcaceae.
GAUGAACGCUGGCGGCGUGCCUAACACAUGCAAGUCGAGCGAUCUUCUUCGGAAGAGAGCGGCGGACGGGUGAGUAACGCGUGGGUAACCUGCCCUGUACACACGGAUAACAUACCGAAAGGUAUGCUAAUACGGGAUAAUGUAUUUUGAUCGCAUGGUCGAAAUAUCAAAGCUUUUGCGGUACAGGAUGGACCCGCGUCUGAUUAGCUAGUUGGUGAGGUAAUGGCUCACCAAGGCGACGAUCAGUAGCCGACCUGAGAGGGUGAUCGGCCACAUUGGAACUGAGACACGGUCCAAACUCCUACGGGAGGCAGCAGUGGGGAAUAUUGCACAAUGGGCGAAAGCCUGAUGCAGCAACGCCGCGUGAGCGAUGAAGGCCUUCGGGUCGUAAAGCUCUGUCCUCAAGGAAGAUAAUGACGGUACUUGAGGAGGAAGCCCCGGCUAACUACGUGCCAGCAGCCGCGGUAAUACGUAGGGGGCUAGCGUUAUCCGGAAUUACUGGGCGUAAAGGGUGCGUAGGUGGUUUCUUAAGUCAGAGGUGAAAGGCUACGGCUCAACCGUAGUAAGCCUUUGAAACUGAGAAACUUGAGUGCAGGAGAGGAGAGUAGAAUUCCUAGUGUAGCGGUGAAAUGCGUAGAUAUUAGGAGGAAUACCAGUUGCGAAGGCGGCUCUCUGGACUGUAACUGACACUGAGGCACGAAAGCGUGGGGAGCAAACAGGAUUAGAUACCCUGGUAGUCCACGCCGUAAACGAUGAGUACUAGCUGUCGGAGGUUACCCCCUUCGGUGGCGCAGCUAACGCAUUAAGUACUCCGCCUGGGAAGUACGCUCGCAAGAGUGAAACUCAAAGGAAUUGACGGGGACCCGCACAAGUAGCGGAGCAUGUGGUUUAAUUCGAAGCAACGCGAAGAACCUUACCUAAGCUUGACAUCCUUUUGACCUCUCCCUAAUCGGAGAUUUCCCUUCGGGGACAGAAGUGACAGGUGGUGCAUGGUUGUCGUCAGCUCGUGUCGUGAGAUGUUGGGUUAAGUCCCGCAACGAGCGCAACCCUUGCCUUUAGUUGCCAGCAUUAAGUUGGGCACUCUAGAGGGACUGCCAGGGAUAACCUGGAGGAAGGUGGGGAUGACGUCAAAUCAUCAUGCCCCUUAUGCUUAGGGCUACACACGUGCUACAAUGGGUGGUACAGAGGGUUGCCAAACCGUGAGGUGGAGCUAAUCCCUUAAAGCCAUUCUCAGUUCGGAUUGUAGGCUGAAACUCGCCUACAUGAAGCUGGAGUUACUAGUAAUCGCAGAUCAGAAUGCUGCGGUGAAUGCGUUCCCGGGUCUUGUACACACCGCCCGUCACACCACGGGAGUUGGGGGCGCCCGAAGCCAGAUAGCUAACCUUUUGGAAGCGUCUGUCGAAGGUGAAAUCAAUAACUGGGGUGAAGUCGUAACAAGGUAGCCGUAUCGGAAGGUGCGGCUGGAUCACCUCCUUUCUAAGGAGAAUUACCUACUGUUUAAUUUUGAGAGUUUUUAAUAAAAAAAAUAAAAAACUCUAUUGAUAAUAUUCGACAAAGAUGAUAAAAUAUUUUUCGUUGAAAAGGUUCAAUAAACACAUGGGGGUGUAGCUCAGCUGGGAGAGCACUUGCCUUGCACGCAAGGGGUCAGGAGUUCGAUCCUCCUCAUCUCCACCAUUAGUACUUUGAAAACUGCAUAACAUUUAGUGAUAUGACAUCAUUUUAUAUAUAGACAAUAUAAGUCUUUAAAAUAUGAUUGAGAAGAUAAUCUCUUAAAAAAAUCAAACUUUAAUAACUUGGUCAAGUUAUUAAGGGUGCAGGGCGGAUGCCUUGGCACUAGGAGCCGAUGAAGGACGUGAUAAGCUGCGAUAAGCUUCGGGGAGUUGCACGUAAACUUUGAUCCGAAGAUUUCCGAAUGAGGAAACUCACUUAGAGUAAUGUCUAAGUAUCGUUAAGUGAAUACAUAGCUUAGCGAGGGGAACCCGGGGAACUGAAACAUCUAAGUACCCGGAGGAAAAGAAAGAAAUUCGAUUCCGUAAGUAGCGGCGAGCGAACGCGGAACAGGCCAAACCAAUGAAGUUUUCUUUGUUGGGGUUGCGGACAUGCAACAUGGAUGCACUAUCGUAAAUGAAGAGAGUUGGAAAGCUCCGCCAAAGAAGGUAAUAGCCCUGUAAUUGAAACGAGAAAGCUACUAGCAUGAUCCAGAGUACCACGGGACACGUGAAACCCUGUGGGAAGCAGGAGGGACCAUCCUCCAAGCCUAAAUACUACCUAGUGACCGAUAGCGCAU